GCAGUCGAGGCCGAGUGGUUAAGGCGAUGGACUCGAAAUCCAUUGGGGUCUCCCCGCACAGGUUCGAAUCCUGUCGGCUGCG
RNAcentral lists this transfer RNA (82 nucleotides) under Rhipicephalus sanguineus (brown dog tick). RNAcentral's name for it is "transfer RNA serine (anticodon CGA)". It matches the Rfam family "tRNA". Rfam says of the family: Transfer RNA (tRNA) molecules are approximately 80 nucleotides in length. Their secondary structure includes four short double-helical elements and three loops (D, anti-codon, and T loops). Lineage: Eukaryota; Metazoa; Arthropoda; Arachnida; Ixodida; Ixodidae. The record is from Rfam by way of RNAcentral.